Non-coding RNA from Cicer arietinum (chickpea), 4012 nucleotides. The record is from RefSeq and is a predicted model, not a curated record. Lineage: Eukaryota; Viridiplantae; Streptophyta; Magnoliopsida; Fabales; Fabaceae.
ACGAUUUUAUAACCCUAAAAUGUCUCAAAAAUUAAUAAAAAACACAAGUAAUAUUGAAAACAUAUUUUUAAAAUAAUUAUUUUAAUAGUGAAAUUUUGGUUUUGAAAUGUUAGCUUUGAUAUAAUUUUCCGAUAGUAUAUACACACUUUUGUUAAUGUUCACUUACAACAUUAUUUUGGGAUUAGAAAAAUCAAACAAAGCAUAUGUAUCGGAAGUAUUUGUGGUAUAUUUUUGUCUAGAUGCAGUUCUGUUUCUAUAGGUCGACCACAUCGAUCCUUAAAAAAAAAAUAUGGGUGGACGGCAACAAUCAUUCAAAAAAAAGUAUUUUUGCUAAAAAAAUUUUAAAAAGGAAAAAUUAUUAAUUGUGAUAAAACUUAUAUAUAUCUAUAGAAUAAUGAAUAAAUUGAUAUAUGUUAAUCGGUUGUGAUGAAUUUCGAUUAUAUUUGAUAUGACAUGUAUAUUAAUAGAUAUGUUAGUUAAUAUAGAUAUGUUAAUAUAGAUAUAGUGGUGCAUCUAGUUGUAAUUUUAGGCUCUAUAAUGGAUGUACUUUAUGAGUAUAAUUAUUUUUAGAUUUAAAUAUGUAUUUGGUUUAUGUAAAUAUAAUAUUUUUUAAUUUUAGUCUUGUAAGUUUUUUUGUUUGGAUUUAGUCCAUAUAAAAUGAGGUCAACUUUGGUCCGUAACGUCAGAUCAACAUUAAACGAAAGACGAGUUUUCUAAGACACUUUAAACCCCUCUUUUAAUUUCUAUUCAUAUUUUUUUAAUAAAAUAAAACUAAUUAUUAAAUAAUAAAUAAAUAAAUAUAUUAAUUAAUAAUUUAAAAUAUUUUAAUUUUUUAAUAUAUCAUAUAAUAUGAUGUGUUGGUGUGUAGUUAUAGAGCCUCGUGUUAUGGUGACUUGUUAGCUCUUUUUUUUGUAACUUUAAUUUGAUGUUAGGGACCAAAAUCGAUAGUCUAUAAUUUUACGGGAAUUAAAUUCAAACAAAAAAUUUACAGAGACUAAAAUAAAAAAGUGGUAUAUUUGUAGAGGCCAAAGAUAUAUUUAAACCUUAUUUUUUUUAGUACAAAUUUAGUUGUUGUGUUAUCGUUGUCGAAAUGUAUUUUUUAAGUCUAAUAUAUUUCUUGUUACAUGAAUUAACUUUAUCAAAUGACAUAUAUCAUGUAGAUUGAUAUGUGUAGAGUGUAUCAUGUAUAUUGAUAUGUACGUUAGAAACUAAAAUUUAUUUUAUUUAUUAAAAAUUAUAUAUUAUUUUAUUAAGACUUAAUUUUUAAGAUUAAAUAAAGUAUCUAAAAUAGUUAAGAUGACCCUGAAUAUAGGUUAUUUGAUAUUGUUUUGAAAUUUUAGCGAAAUGUAAUAUUGGUUAACGUAGUCAUUUUAACCGUUAAAAUUUGAAAAUACAUUUUGAAAAUAGUAAAACAUGAUUCAAAGUGGUUCCUUCGUUAAUUUGUCACUAACAUUGAAGUGAAAUCACUAUGUAUUCUCUAAAUGUACGCAAAAUUGCAAAAAUAGAAGACUGUUGUUUCAUUAAAGAUUUGCAAUUUUGAGAAUCAGUACGCUAUUUACUUUAUGUUACGGUGGAUAACAAAUGGGUUGGUUCAGACACAAAGCCCUAAAUCAUUAAAUGUUAUUUUCUUCGUGGUGGUGUUACAUACUUAUUUUGGUAGUUUAAAAAAUCUAUAGUAUUGCAACAAUAAUUUUUUAAAAUAUUUUAAAAGAAGUUUCUUAAAUUUUUUAAAUUGUCAAUUCGAUUAAAGGAGAUUGACUAAAGGCAAACACUUUGAGUUUGCGACGAAUUUCAAGAAAUUGAUUGGAAGAAAUUGAUUUGGUGAAGGAAUGAACAAGUUGUAGGGACGUUGGAACAUGUCGAACCAGUAGUUGUUUGGCAAUGUCUUUUUCUCGAACAAAAUGAUAAUCAAGCUCCAUGUGUUUAGUUCUUGAGUGGAGAAUUGGAUUGUGAGAAAGAAGAAUAUAACUAAUAUUAUCAAAUAGAAGUGUAGGUGUUUUGAUGUUGACUUGCAACUCAUGAAGAAGCGAUUGAACUCAUAUUAGUUCAACCAAUGUGUGAGCCAUACUAUAGUACUCAGCCUCAGUGCUCGAUCGAGCAACCAUUUGUUGCUUCUUUGAUGACCAAGAUACUAAGUUAGGACCCCAAAAAAUGCACGAUCUAGAGGUAGAACGACGAUCAUCGGGAUCAUUAGCUCAAUCGACAUCACUAUAAGUAAUUAGAGAGUGAGGAACAUUGAGAUUACUACGAUGUAAUAGCAGACUCAUAUCAAAGGAUCCCUUGAUAUAAUGAAGUAUUCAUUUGACAGUCUUCCAAUGGUCGAGCCAUGAAUUGGCAAACCUUGUUGACAUUAAAUGCAAGUUCAGGACGAGUAAGGGUGACAUAUUGUAAUGCCCCCACAACUGAUCUAUACUUAGUAGGAUAAGUUAAGCUAUCAAUUCAAAACCUACUCAAUUUGCAGCCACUUAUCAUUGGAGAUGAAAUGUCAUUUGAGUCAUACAUAUUGACACCAGAUAAUAGAUCACAAAUAUAUUUUUCUUGGGACAUGAACAUAGAACCAUUGGACAAUGCUAAGAAAAUAGUCCAAACAAUCCAAUUGUUUAAGAGCAAACUUAUUGUUGAGUUUAGUGAUAAGGUCUAUAAUAAGAAUUAUGAAGAACCAUUUAUAAGAAUGUCAUCUACAUAAAUAAGAAUGUAGAGACAAACAACAUUGGUUUUGUAUAGAAGUAGAGAUGAAUCACAUUUACUCAAAUAGAAGCCAAACAGGAGAAGAAAAAAAGUGAGACAUUCAUACCAAGCACGGGGUGCUUGCUUUAGGCCAUAUAACCACUUAUGCAGAUUGCACACUAAUGACUGAUUGGGAUCCUAAAAAACAGAAGGUUGUUGCAUAAAGACCUCUUCUUGCAGAACACCAUUAGAAAAUGCGUUAUUUAUAUCAAUUUGUUGAAUUUUGCAUUUGUUAUGCAAAGCUAGAGUUAACAAAAUUUGAAUUGUGACAGGUUUGACAACAUAGGAGAAUGUUUUUAUUGAAGUCAAAUGCCAUUAUUUGAUGAAACUAAUAGAUCCAAAGCCCACCCUUGUGGAAUAGUGGAAGAUGUUUUGGUAAAAGUAGGGAAAUUUAUUUUUCCUGCAGAUUUUAUGGUGUUGGACAUGGAAGAGGAUGAUGAAGUUCCAAUGGUUUUUGAACAACCUUUCUUAGCCCCAAGAGAUGCCAUAAUUGAUAUGAAAAGAUAGUUGUAUUGCUGAUACUGAUGGGAACCCUCUGAUGGAAAUUGUUGUUCUACAUGAUUCUAAACAUGCUAAAAGAGCCCCCUUGAUCUUCAUAUUGGGGCAUUACCGCCAGACUCGAAACGUUAAACAACCAAUUUGCAGGAGACAACCUGUAUUUAUUUUAUUGGCUUAAUUGCAGUUUUGGUCCCCUUCUUUUAGCUGAAUCGCAAAAGUAGUCAUCCAUUUUGUUUUUCCCCAGUUUUGGUCCCUCAAACAGAAUUUUGGUCCAAAACUUGAUGAAAUUUUAUUUUUUAAAGCCUUACUACACCAUUUAUGAUAAUAGAUUUCAAGUACAAUUAUUGCACAUAAGAUCUUGAUGCAUGAUAUGACUUAAAUAAAUGCAAAAAAAAAUGAAAUUUCAUCAAGUUUUAGAUUAAAAUUAUGUUCGGGGGACCAAAACUGGGGAGAAACAAAAUGGAGGGACUACUUUCGCGAUUCAGCUAAAAUAAAGGGACCAAAACUGCAAUUAAGCCUAUUUUAUUCUAGUUUGAAUUUAUUAUUUUUGUUUUUAGGAAAUAAAAGCUCCAACGCAGGCUCUUUCAGGAAAAUUCACUUUUACUUUCUCUAAUUUAUUUAUUCAUUUAGUCUAUUUGACUAUUAUGCAUUUAGGACCAUCCUUUAUGCUAGUGUGGCGAGAGGAAAUAUAUUUUUGGCACUAGACCCGUUGUAGUACUUGUGAUGACACCUUUGUUGUCUUAUUUUACUUGAAUUAUGUGUAAGAAUGAAUGUUUUUUUUUGUUAA